Molecule: ribosomal RNA, 294 nt
Filed under: uncultured bacterium
Lineage: Bacteria
Description: partial 16S ribosomal RNA
Rfam family: Bacterial small subunit ribosomal RNA
Source: RNAcentral
CUUUCCUAGGGAGGCAGCAGUAGGGAAUCUUCCGCAAUGGGCGAAAGCCUGAUGGAGCAACGCCGCGUGGGUGAAGAAGGUCUUCGGAUCGUAAAACCCUGUUGUUAGAGAAGGAAGUGCGUGAGAGUAACUGUUCACGUUUCGACGGUAUCUAACCAGAAAGCCACGGCUAACUACGUGCCAGCAGCCGCGGUAAUACGUAGGUGGCAAGCGUUAUCCGGAUUUAUUGGGCGUAAAGAGAACGCAGGCGGUCUUUUAAGUCUGAUGUGAAAGCCUUCGGCUUAACCGGAGUAG